Molecule: ribosomal RNA, 445 nt
Filed under: uncultured bacterium
Lineage: Bacteria
Description: bacterial SSU rRNA
Rfam family: Bacterial small subunit ribosomal RNA
Source: RNAcentral
GUAGGGAAUAUUGGACAAUGGGCGAAAGCCUGAUCCAGCCAUGCCGCGUGAUAGAUGAAGGCCCUCUGGGUUGUAAAUAUCUUUUAUCUGGGAAGAAACUCCUCUAUUCUUAGAGGCCUGACGGUACCAGAGGAAUAAGCACCGGCUAACUCCGUGCCAGCAGCCGCGGUAAUACGGAGGGUGCAAGCGUUAUCCGGAUUCACUGGGUUUAAAGGGUGCGUAGGCGGGUUGAUAAGUCAGUGGUGAAAGCUCCGAGCUUAACUUGGAAACUGCCAUUGAUACUGUCAGUCUUGAAUGUCGUAGAGGUAAGCGGAAUGUUGCAUGUGGCGGUGAAAUGCUUAGAUAUGUUACAGAACACCAAUUGCGAAGGCAGCUUACUAUGCGAUAAUUGACGCUGAGGCACGAAAGCGUGGGGAGCAAACAGGAUUAGAAACCCGUGUAGUCC